Molecule: long non-coding RNA, 249 nt
Filed under: Macaca nemestrina (pig-tailed macaque)
Lineage: Eukaryota; Metazoa; Chordata; Mammalia; Primates; Cercopithecidae
Description: lncRNA (ENSMNEG00000046000.1)
Source: RNAcentral
CGAAAGGCAUAAGUCCAAUCAACCACCACAUUAGACAUUCCAAGAAUCACAGCCUCUCUGAGGAAGAAAAAGUAAUUAUUACCCAGGUAUUAUCAUUUUCCAUCUGUGCUACCAUGUGAAAAAUGUUGGGAAACUCUACUGGAAACUGACCUUGCUCUUGGGACCCACCCUGCCAGGCAAAAGAGGAUUUCUAGAGGAUGCUCUGAAGCCUGAAUAUGAGUCUGGAAGCCUACACACUAUCGACGGUCC